AUUUAUAUAGUUUAAUAAAAACAUUUCAUUUUCAAUGAAAAAAAAAGAAAUAAUUCUUUAUAAAUUU
RNAcentral lists this transfer RNA (67 nucleotides) under Ausejanus albisignatus. Its description in RNAcentral is "tRNA-Glu". Lineage: Eukaryota; Metazoa; Arthropoda; Insecta; Hemiptera; Miridae. The record is from RNAcentral.